This 617-nucleotide long non-coding RNA is filed under the name Sus scrofa (pig). RNAcentral's name for it is "lncRNA (ENSSSCG00030010143.1)". Lineage: Eukaryota; Metazoa; Chordata; Mammalia; Artiodactyla; Suidae. The record is from RNAcentral.
GCAGCCUCAGGUGCCAGGCGGCGGGCGGGCGCGCGCGGGGGUCCGCGGGCCAGGCUUCCUCCGACUCCGGACCCCGAGCGGCGGCGGACGGGGAGGGGCCGGGCGGCGCAUGCGCGGGGCCCAGGGGCGCGGGUGAGGGCGCUUGCCGCGGGCUCGUGCUGGGAGAUCCCGGGCCCCUGGGGCCGCUUCUAGCUCGGCCUCCCUUGGAGCGUCCAGGGCCUUCCCGGAGCCUCGGCGUCCGCAGCUGUCGGUGGGGCUGGGGGCUGGGUAGAAGUGGAGGCCGGGGACUUCGGAGACACUGCGUCCUUAAGUUGUCACCCCGGGGAGAAGGCCCACCAAGCGAGUGCCUCGGACUGCCGUGAAAGGCCCUGCCUCGUGGCAAGACAAGCUCAGAAGCAGGACGCUGUCAUCACAGGGAGCGAGGAGCUGCUCUAUGCUCUUGUGUUCAGUACCGAGCAGAGCAAUCCCGGAUCUGCUCAUGAAGCUGACUUGGUUACAUCAAAAUAUUAAAAAGGGAGCUUAAAGAGUGUGACCCUGGCGUGGGGAAAGGGACACUAUUUUUGCUACACCACCUUGCUGGAAACCAGUACUUUUUCCCUUGCAUGUUGCCUAUGAGC